UGGCGGACGGGUGAGUAACGCGCGGGGGAACCUGCCCUGUACAGGGGGAUAACACUUAGAAAUAGGUGCUAAUACCGCAUAAGCGCACAGUAUCGCAUGAUACAGUGUGAAAAACUCCGGUGGUACAGGAUGGACCCGCGUCUGAUUAGCUGGUUGGCGGGGUAACGGCCCACCAAGGCGACGAUCAGUAGCCGGCCUGAGAGGGUGAACGGCCACAUUGGGACUGAGACACGGCCCAAACUCCUACGGAAGGCAGCAG
RNAcentral lists this ribosomal RNA (259 nucleotides) under uncultured bacterium. RNAcentral's name for it is "partial 16S ribosomal RNA". It matches the Rfam family "Bacterial small subunit ribosomal RNA", at positions 96 to 354 of the family's 1533-position model. The record is from RNAcentral.